This 351-nucleotide transfer-messenger RNA is filed under the name Proteiniclasticum sp. It matches the Rfam family "transfer-messenger RNA". Rfam says of the family: Bacterial tmRNA, also known as 10Sa RNA or SsrA, is named for its dual tRNA and mRNA-like properties. Lineage: Bacteria; Bacillati; Bacillota; Clostridia; Eubacteriales; Clostridiaceae. The record is from RNAcentral. RNAcentral also lists the same sequence under 1 other name.
GGGGAUGUAUUGGCUUCGACGGGGACACGGAGGAUUUGAUAAGCGAGUAGAAGGAAGUCAUGGUCCUUCUUUAAACAACGAUGGCAUAAUGUAAACGCAGAAGAUAAUUUUGCACUAGCAGCUUAGUCUGCUACGUUCUACCCGGGAUGUCCGCUGCCUGGGACUAGAGCGCCGAUUAGCGGAAAAACGAGUCUGAGUAAGCUUUGCCUCAGAAACGGGAUUCAUGAAGCUACCAACUUUGGAGUCUGCACGUAACCUCCAAAGAAGGGAAAUUUGAUUACGAUGCUACACUCGUAGAAAGUCAGGUUUGACGGUUUUCGGACAGGGGUUCGACACCCCUCAUCUCCACCA